RNAcentral lists this ribosomal RNA (843 nucleotides) under uncultured bacterium. Its description in RNAcentral is "bacterial SSU rRNA". It matches the Rfam family "Bacterial small subunit ribosomal RNA", at positions 59 to 902 of the family's 1533-position model. The record is from RNAcentral.
CAGUCGAACGAGGGUCCUUCGGGACUCGAGUGGCGAACGGGUGAGUAACACGUAGGGAACCUGCCCGUGCGACCGGGAGAACUUUCGGAAACGGAAGCUGAUACCGGAUAGGGACAGAGACGGCAUCGACUCUGUGUUAAAGGAGCUGAAAGGCUCCGCGCACGGAUGGACCUGCGGUGCAUUAGCUGGUUGGUGAGGUAACGGCCCACCAAGGCGACGAUGCAUAGCCGGCCUGAGAGGGCGGACGGCCACACUGGGACUGAGACACGGCCCAGACUCCUACGGGAGGCAGCAGUAGGGAAUUUUCGUCAAUGGGCGCAAGCCUGAACGAGCAAUGCCGCGUGAACGAGGAAGGUCUUCGGAUCGUAAAGUUCUGUUGAAGGGGAAAAAGAGCGGAGAGAGGAAAUGGUCUCCGAUUGAUAUUACCCUUCGAGGAAGUCACGGCUAACUACGUGCCAGCAGCCGCGGUAAUACGUAGGUGGCGAGCGUUAUCCGGAAUGAUUGGGCGUAAAGGGUGCGUAGGCGGCCUGCUAAGUCUGGAGUGAAAGGUACCGGCUCAACCGGUAUAGGCUCUGGAAACUGGCGGGCUAGAGAGCAGGAGAGGGCGGUGGAACUCCACGUGUAGCGGUAAAAUGCGUAGAUAUAUGGAAGAACACCAGUGGCGAAGGCGGCCGCCUGGCCUGUUACUGACGCUGAGGCACGAAAGCGUGGGGAGCAAAUAGGAUUAGAUACCCUAGUAGUCCACGCCGUANACGAUGAGGACCAAGUGUUGGGGAANACCCAGUGCUGCAGUUAACGCAGUGAGUCCUCCGCCUGGGGAGUAUGCACGCAAGUGUGAAACUC